UUAACGCUUGGUGUCUCUCAGCUCCGUGUCAGUCGGUGCAGAAGCAGCAAGAUGCUGUGGCAGACUCAGCUCCUCUGGCUCCUCAUGCUCUGGGCACAGGGCUCCAGUGGGGACAAUCCUGUGACUCAGAUGCCAGAAUCUGUGGCAGUGGCUCUAGGAGACACUGUCACCAUCAAGUGCAGAGUCAGCUCCAGCAUCAGCAGCAACAUGGACCUAUUCCACCAGAAACCAGGGCAACCUCCUAGGAUCCUUCUCUACAAAACAAACAGCCGCCCCUCCGGGAUCCCCGACCGGUUCAGUGGCAGUGGGUCUGGCACCGACUUCACCUUUACCAUCAGCCGGGUGGAAGCUGAAGAUGCUGGAGAUUAUUACUGUCAGCAGAAUAAUGACGCCCAUCUCACAGUGCUACAGCCCCGCUCCAGCGGGAACAUUAUUGUGACUCAGACUCCAGAGUCCCUGGCCGUGCCCUCAGAAGACACAGUCACCAUCAAGUGCAAAACCAGUCCCAGUGUUAGCAAAUACAUGAACUUUUACCAGCAGAAACCAGGCCAGGCCCCUAAACUCCUCAUCUACAACACCAACAACCAUCUUUCUGGGGUCCCCGACCAGUUCAGUGGCAGUGGGUCCAGCAUGGACUUCACUUUACUAUGA
Molecule: non-coding RNA, 651 nt
Organism: Alligator sinensis (Chinese alligator)
Lineage: Eukaryota; Metazoa; Chordata; Crocodylia; Alligatoridae
Source: the annotation of a RefSeq genome assembly